This 291-nucleotide ribosomal RNA is filed under the name uncultured bacterium. RNAcentral describes it as "partial 16S ribosomal RNA". It matches the Rfam family "Bacterial small subunit ribosomal RNA", at positions 506 to 796 of the family's 1533-position model. The record is from RNAcentral.
KGCCAGCAGCCGCGGUAAUACGGAGGAUGCAAGCGUUAUCCGGAAUCAUUGGGCGUAAAGCGUCCGCAGGUGGUUAAUCAAGUCUGCUGUUAAAGACAGAAGCUCAACUUCUGAUAGGCAGUGGAAACUGGUAAACUAGAGUACGGUAGGGGUUGAGGGAAUUCCCAGUGUAGCGGUGAAAUGCGUAGAUAUUGGGAAGAACACCAGUGGCGAAGGCGCUCAACUGGGCCGUAACUGACACUCAGGGACGAAAGCUAGGGUAGCGAAAGGGAUUAGAUACCCUGGUAGUCC